CAUGCAAGUCGAACGCGAAAGGGGGGCAACCCCCGAGUAGAGUGGCGAACGGGUGAGUAAUACAUCGGAACGUGUCCAGUAGCGGGGGAUAACCUCUCGAAAGAGAGGCUAAUACCGCAUACGACCUACGGGUGAAAGAGGGGGAUCGCAAGACCUCUCACUAUUGGAGCGGCCGAUGUCGGAUUAGCUAGUUGGUGGGGUAACGGCCUACCAAGGCAACGAUCCGUAGCUGGUCUGAGAGGACGGCCAGCCACACUGGAACUGAGACACGGUCCAGACUCCUACGGGAGGCAGCAGUGGGGAAUUUUGGACAAUGGGCGCAAGCCUGAUCCAGCCAUGCCGCGUGAGUGAAGAAGGCCUUCGGGUUGUAAAGCUCUUUCGGCUGGGACGAAAAGGUCCGUGCUAACACCACGGAUCCAUGACGGUACCAGCAGAAGAAGCACCGGCUAACUACGUGCCAGCAGCCGCGGUAAUACGUAGGGUGCAGGCGUUAAUCGGAAUUACUGGGCGUAAAGCGUGCGCAGGCGGUUUGCUAAGACAGGUGUGAAAUCCCCGGGCUUAACCUGGGAACUGCGCUUGUUACUGGCAAGCUAGAGUGUGGCAGANGGGGGGUGGAAUUCCACGUGUAGCAGUGAAAUGCGUAGAGAUGUGGAGGAACACCGA
Molecule: ribosomal RNA, 663 nt
Filed under: uncultured bacterium
Lineage: Bacteria
Description: bacterial SSU rRNA
Rfam family: Bacterial small subunit ribosomal RNA
Source: RNAcentral